UCUGGCACCCUGGGCAACAAAUGCAUGAUGGGAGUUCUAGAUGAAUGAUCUACAUUAGCUCUUUGAAAGAAAGACAUUCCUAGCUCUAUCCCUGCUUCCACCAGCCCCUUAAGAUGUGCCCCCAAAGGAAAUACAGCAGAGCUCUUCCGAAGUCAGAAUGGGUGCCAGGUUGUUUCAACAUUUCUAAGAAAAAGAAGCAUUCUCUUUAGGAAAACAGAAAGGAUUUAAGCCUGGAAGAGAGUUUGUAAGCAUAGAAAAGGAAAAGGGAGGCAAAAGAAGAGGAAAACAACAACAAAACAAUGAGCACACUGGAUUGUGAAAAAUGAAAAUAGGAAAGGCAGAAGGGAAACAUCUUUUAAUCCCCAUUAUACAUCAGAAGUAUUGUAAAUAAUUACUUCAUUUAAUACAAUAAUGUGUGUGAUAUUUAC
Talpa occidentalis (Iberian mole) is the source of this 428-nucleotide long non-coding RNA. RefSeq lists it as uncharacterized. The transcript has 3 exons. The record is from RefSeq and is a predicted model, not a curated record. NCBI's taxonomy places the organism in Eukaryota, Metazoa, Chordata, Mammalia, Eulipotyphla, Talpidae.